CCAGUUAUUCAGUUUCCUUGGCUGCCUGACCCAGAAAUUGCCUCGGAUGGUCAGCACUUCAAGCCCUUUGAUGAAGUACUUGGCUUUCCUACGACUGAAAAAGACCGUCCAUCUUCUCAAAGGCAAACCCUGACUGCUAUUGCGGAAGAUCAACAGGGCUGCAAGAAUUCAGUACUUGUUGGUCAGAAUGUCCGGCAGACGGUUCACUGCCAUGAAUGUGGGAAACCACGCUGUGUCUACUCAAAAUCCUCUUUCACAAAUCGUGAUACCAAGUCCUUCAAGCGACUGAUCGAGUCUCAUGACUACACUUGUGGGUCCAUCUUGACCCUUGAUGUUGCAUUUUAGGUCACAUACUUCAAGGCAAGGCAUUUGUCAGACUUCAGAUGUGCUGUACCACUCCAAUCGAGUUUGCAUAUUUUGCAUCAUCGUCCAUCGUCCGCAAGGAUAUAUGUUGUCAUUGUGGGAGUUUCGGGGCAGAACGAGACAAGGAUCUCAUGCAGAACUAUUGCGUUGUAUUACCUGUUUGCAUUAAUUGCAAGCACCUUGGAUCUCCAAAGAGGAAUCCUAUUCGGAAAUGAAUAUGUUAACUAGUGUGUUAAUCUUAACUAUAAAACAGUACACUUUAAGCUGGUUGCUUUGUUAUAUUAUCUGUAGAACAAAAGGCUACAUUUUACUUUAAACCAAUAGUGGUGCAAAUACCGGUAAGUUAAAUUCAAAUGAUUUAUUUUGUUGAAUAUGUAUGGAAUCCCCACCCCACCCCACACAACUCAAAAAAAAAAAGAAAGAAUUUUCCUACCGACCUACCCACAUUUGAAAUUGCAGGUCGGAAAUGGACAAACAAAAAUAUUUUUAAGGAUGGCCUUGGUGGACAUGAGCUCCAACUGCCUGGUGUUAGAUCCACAUGUAAUUGUGGAGCUAAUUUUAAUUAGAUUGCAUUGUAUAGCUAUAUAUCUGAAACUUGCAGAGUGGAUCGUGAUGCUAUACAAAUGUUCCCUGUAUAAAUAUGCUAAUCUCAUCUACUUUACAGUUUAGUAUCUUUUACAAAUAAUUAACUCUUUACCAUUUUUAACAGUAAUAUUCAUUGAUGAAAAAGUAUAAUUAUACUUAGAAUUUAAUGUUACUUGGUUACCAAAAAAUUGAAGUUUGUGUCACAAUGUGAGAAGUUAUGGUACCUGAAACAUUUUCUUUAAAAAAUGUAUUUACAAAUAUAACAGACUUAAAAAGUACAAAUUCUCUGUAUUAUACUUAAUAAUUUAUUUCCAUUGCAUUAAUACUAUUCUUUUGUAUAAAACUGAUCCAGUCAUAUGCUAAACUCAUUCAAAUGAUUUACAUGAAAAUAGAUUUACAUGUCUAUAUUUGAAUAGUUAUGCUUUAUCAAAAUGUUUUUUAACAUCAACUUCAGCUAUCAGAAACUGCUGAGUCAUCAUGAUAAGCAAAACAUUAUUUUAAGUUAUUUUCAAUUCAAUAUGCAUUGUCUUCUAAAAAUAACGCUUCAGUAUGAUAUAUAUUCUACCCAAAAAGUUAAUAAUGGGUGGAUAAAUAUUGACAAAGCAUCAAAUACGUUUAAUUUUAUCAAAAUGUGUCCCUGCUGUGAAGUUCUGUAUUUUCGCUUUUGUGGGUCAGUUACCUCCCUUGAAAUAUUUUCGAUGUCAAAUUAAACAAAGUUGUUGGGGUUUUAAAAUUACAAAAAAUAUAUAUUUAUGCUGUUUUAUUAUAUUACUAUAGAUAUUUAUCAAUAUCUCAGUGAAAUCGCCCUUUUUGGGGCAAAAUAAAAAGUAUUCAAAGUUUCACUUGCCUAAAAAAAAAGUCUUUUUGCAGUCGUUCAAUUUCGGAAACAGGAUAUACAUCAAUCGGAAGAUGUGUACUUGUCAUAACCACCAAAGAAACGUGUGACGGGACAUGCUCUUAAUUUUGUUUUCGCCUGUGGCGAUAUUAAUUGUUUUAGAAGGCCGUGUGCAGUUCCAAAUUGCACUUUGCCAGGUGGGCAACUUGUUACGUAAUA
RNAcentral lists this long non-coding RNA (2002 nucleotides) under Gigantopelta aegis. RNAcentral describes it as "uncharacterized LOC121368291". Lineage: Eukaryota; Metazoa; Mollusca; Gastropoda; Neomphalida; Peltospiridae. The record is from RNAcentral.